CCUACGGGUGGCAGCAGUGAGGAAUAUUGGUCAAUGGCCGAGAGUCUGAACCAGCCAAGUCGCGUGAGGGAAGACUGCCCUACGGGUUGUAAACUUCUUUUGUAGGGGAGUAAAGCGAGUCACGUGUGCCUUUUUGCGAGUACUCUAUGAAAAAGCAUCGGCUAACUCCGUGCCAGCAGCCGCGGUAAUACGGAGGAUGCGAGCGUUAUCCGGAUUUAUUGGGUUUAAAGGGUGCGUAGGAGGUCUGUUAAGUCAGCGGUAAAAUUUCGGGGCUCAACCCCGGCGAGGCGUUGAAACUGGCAGACUUGAGUUGGCGAGAAGUACGCGGAAUGCGCGGGGUAGCGGUGAAAUGCAUAGAUAUCGCGCAGAACUCCGAUUGCGAAGGCAGCGUACCGGCGCCAGACUGACGCUGAGGCACGAAAGCGUGGGGAUCGAACAGGAUUAGAUACCCUUGUAGUC
This 459-nucleotide ribosomal RNA is filed under the name uncultured bacterium. RNAcentral's name for it is "partial 16S ribosomal RNA". It matches the Rfam family "Bacterial small subunit ribosomal RNA", at positions 338 to 795 of the family's 1533-position model. The record is from RNAcentral.